RNAcentral lists this long non-coding RNA (1252 nucleotides) under Chinchilla lanigera (long-tailed chinchilla). Its description in RNAcentral is "lncRNA (ENSCLAG00000029113.1)". The record is from RNAcentral. Lineage: Eukaryota; Metazoa; Chordata; Mammalia; Rodentia; Chinchillidae.
CUCCACCAGAGCUGCUUAUUUUAGCUCUCGCUAGACAUUUCAGCAAAUGGCACUUUCCAAAGGCUGCAGUGUCUCAGACACGGAUUGCACCGGUGGUUUCACUGGAAUCCCACACCUUGGGAGGGAGGAGAGCCUGUGAACAUCCUGCAUCUCCAGGCUACCUGGCCUGAACUGUCCCACACUCUUCACCUCUCACAAAUGGUGGGGACUAUGACAAGCUUGGAGGCUCCCCUCUGCAUUUCUGUUUUCUUUUCCUUGGUGGCAGUGUUCUUAUCACCACCUGGCACUGGGAGCUCAGAGAAUGUAGAAAGGAGCAAACAGAGGGCGGAAAAAGGUCUAGCUCCUGGAUUCAGAUGCUAAGGCACGUUUCCCAGCUCUGGACUCAUAGUCAGGAGACCUGCCCUGGAUCAAGAUGAUGUUAACACACGUAAUACAAAUGGAUUUGAAAAGGAUGCAUGAGAUCAGGUACCUUAGCUUGACAGGGGGAUUCCUGAGCUAGCUGGCGUCAAAGUACAUGAACGCUGUCUGUGCUUCCUCAGUCCCCCCAGAUGGCCACUGGUGACUGCUGACCCCAAGAGCUGACCUGCUGCUGACGCAGGCAGAAUUAUGGUGCUAACCACAGUCAUCAUAAUUAGAGCUAAUAAUGUCAAAAAAAGUCUGCUGCCAUGGGCUCUGCUCUGCUAAAAGUCUAAAAAUUCAACAGAGAAAAGAUAUGCCUUCUCUAAGAAAUCCACUUAUUAGUUCAUAGAACAAUGUAUGUUUAGAAAGAAACAACUUAAAGCUCCACUACAUUUUAGAAUUAUCAAGUUCAUCCCAAACCGAGGACUUCCCUAACAAUGCCUGUAAUACCAUCUUAGAAUGAAUUUUCCAUUCAAUUCAGAAACACUGGCUCAUCAGUAUUUCAGUUUUACAUCUCUUUCUGCAAUAAAACUGUUGACAUAUUUGGGGAAGAAUUACAGUGCAUGGCAAGAAUAAAGCUACCAAACAUUCAUGACAUAUAAAUAAUUCUUUGUCACUAUUCAUAAAUACGUUUCUUGCAUUCAUAGACCUGCUUCAAUAAAGGCCAUACUGCUAUUAUAUUUUUAAGUAUUUUUGUUCUUCUUAUCACUAUUCAUUGACGAGACUAGCAUGUAUGUUAAGUGUUUGCCCCUCUCAAACUUGAAUUAUUCCAUUAAUGACAUUCACUUGAGUAUCAACACCACCUCUUGCUAAACUGCUACCUCUUAUAAAGAAACGAGCACAAUUCUGUAUA